CUGGGGCUGAGGGAUGGACUGAUGCUUUUAGGCUCAAACGUGGCUUUUAGACAGAUUUGUUCAUAGACCCUCUCAAGUGCCCUCUCCGAGCUGGUAGGCAUUCCAGCUCCUCCGUGCUUCCUCAGUUACACAAAGGACCUCAGCUGCUUCUCCCACUUGGCCAAGCAGGGAGGAAGAAGCUUAGACAGGGCUCUCUUUCCUUCUUGCCUUCAGAUGUUCUCUCCCAGGGGCUGGCUUCAGGAGGGAGCAUAGAAGGCAGGCCCUUUCCUCAGGCAAGGUCUGGCCUCAGGUGGGCCGCAGGCGGGAAGAGCAGCCCUUGGCCAGAAGUCAAGCCCAGCCACGUGGAGCCUAGAGUGAGGGCCUGAGGUCUGGCUGCUUGCCCCCAUGCUGGGGCCAACAACUUCUCCAUCCUUUCUGCCUCUCAACGUCACUUGAAUCCUAGGGCCUGGGUUUUCAUGUUUUUGAAACAGAACCAUAAAGCAUAUGUGUUGGCU
This 494-nucleotide long non-coding RNA is filed under the name Pan troglodytes (chimpanzee). RNAcentral describes it as "long non-coding RNA NONPTRT018398". The record is from RNAcentral. Lineage: Eukaryota; Metazoa; Chordata; Mammalia; Primates; Hominidae.